CUAUUGAUCCAAUGGUAGACGCAGUGGACUCAAAAUCCACCGAUCGCAAGGUUGUCCGAGUUCGAGUCUCGGGGGAGCCACCA
RNAcentral lists this transfer RNA (83 nucleotides) under Oligoflexia bacterium. Its description in RNAcentral is "tRNA-OTHER". The record is from RNAcentral. Lineage: Bacteria; Pseudomonadati; Bdellovibrionota; Oligoflexia.